RNAcentral lists this ribosomal RNA (252 nucleotides) under uncultured bacterium. RNAcentral's name for it is "partial 16S ribosomal RNA". It matches the Rfam family "Bacterial small subunit ribosomal RNA", at positions 524 to 776 of the family's 1533-position model. The record is from RNAcentral.
UACGGAGGAUGCGAGCGUUAUCCGGAUUUAUUGGGUUUAAAGGGUGCGCAGGCGGCACGGCAAGCCGGCGGUCAAAUCGCGGGGCUCAACCCCGCCCAGCCGUCGGAACUGCCGGGCUAGAGUGGGCGAGAAGUGCGCGGAAUGCGUGGUGUAGCGGUGAAAUGCAUAGAUAUCACGCAGAACUCCGAUUGCGAGGGCAGCGCACCGGCGCCCUACUGACGCUCAGGCACGAAAGCGUGGUUAUCGAACAGG